GUGUAACAACUCACCUGCCGAAUGAAUUAGCCCUGAAAAUGGAUGGCGCUAAAGCGGGUAGCCGACACCAUGCCGUCUGUUUAACAGAUAACAGAUGAGUAGGAGGGCGUGGUGGCCGUGUCGAAGCAUGCGUGCGAACGCGUGUGGAACGGCCACUAGUGCAGAUCUUGGUGGUAGUAGCAAAUAUUCAAGCGAGAUCCUUGAAGGGCGAAGCGGGGAAGGGUUCCACGCAAACAUUGAUUGGGCGUGGGUGAGUCGUUCCUAAGCCGAGUGGUCAUAGCUAAAUACCGGCGAAAGGGAAGCGGGUUGAAAUUCCCGCACACGGAUGUGGAGGCGGUGACGCUUUAUUGAGGCGAAUACGCUGGCGGUGGCGCUGGGCAGAGAUGUCUUUUCUGUUUAACCAUUAUCGGGCUGUGUGGAAUCCGCUUGUCGGGAGAA
RNAcentral lists this ribosomal RNA (438 nucleotides) under Chrysymenia nodulosa. RNAcentral describes it as "eukaryotic LSU rRNA". It matches the Rfam family "Eukaryotic large subunit ribosomal RNA", at positions 1280 to 1742 of the family's 3401-position model. Lineage: Eukaryota; Rhodophyta; Florideophyceae; Rhodymeniales; Rhodymeniaceae. The record is from RNAcentral.